Molecule: long non-coding RNA, 527 nt
Organism: Cygnus atratus (black swan)
Lineage: Eukaryota; Metazoa; Chordata; Aves; Anseriformes; Anatidae
Exons: 5
Source: RefSeq, a predicted model, not a curated record
GGGGACAAACCUUCCCUUCGUACGCUUGUAUAGCCCAGAGGCUCUGUAUUAAGUCACGGUUGUGCUCUGCUGUCGUCGUGAUGGAUUUCAUUUGGAAAAAAACAAAAAACAAACAACCACAUGCGGAAAAAUACCCUUCAUGCUACACUGGAAAAGAAUAAAUAUAUAAUACCGUUUCUCCAAAGACAUUUGUAUCCCUAUUUAGAAACUUCUUAACCAAAUGAGAGUUUGCAGUUAGGCAGCACAUCUGAAAAUCUCCAGGUGCCAUCAACGAAUCGCCUGUGACAAUGGACCUCAUCUUUAACAGAGAGGACCUGGUGGAGAGGAUGUGUUGGGCUUGUUUCUUCAGUCUUCUCUUCGCUCUGCGGAGUUUCUGAGGCUGAACAGCAAGUUGACAAAAAAAAUGUAUGUUGGAAGUUAUGAUACUUCAAAGGACAUAUAAUCUGCUGUGCUUUUCAAAACCCCAAAAUAGUUAUCAGUAUUGUUGUCUGUCUUGGAACUGCAGAUUUUCCACAAAAGAAAAUUCG